CCACGGCCCGUGCUUCCUGCACCCUGCUUACACAGGCAGCAAGGUGGGGGAGAGAAAACUGUUUCCAAGAGAAGGAUUACAUCCUACAUUAAGGCCGAGGGUGGACGACUCCGAUUCCUUUCUCCCACGCCGUUAAUAAAACCUCGGGGAAGCAGCGCUCACACACACACCGCACUGCGCCGCUCUCCCGGGGGAGGGGAAGGACGCGCCGCCCGAGCGGGACGAGCCGCGGGGCCGCGCCGAGGGACGGUGUCCGACUCGAGGCCUCCAGCCGCGGCUGGGGAGCGGAGCGGCUCACACCCCCACCCCGCCUUCUCCCAGUCCCGCGGCGGGCUCCUACCGUACGGAGGAUCCGCACUCAGGCCCCGGCCCGGCCUUCCCCUCGCUUCUGAGGGGAGCGAAGCGAAACCGAAAGCAGCCGGACUGCCAUCGCCGGAACCCGGCGGCCUCUCCGGCCCCCUUCCUUCCUUCCGUCCUUCCUUCCUCCCUCCCCCUCGGUGCUCCCGCCGUCCCCUCGCCGCGACCCCUCACCAUGUGGCGGCUGUGCCCGCGAUGCCGAUUAUUGGCAAGUCUCAUGGUGAUUUCCAUCUAGAGUUUACAGCGGCUGCCCCAGAAACAGUCACCCAGGAAAGUCUGUGGCUACAGAAACUACCCACAACACCUGGACCACAGCAGAAUUUCCCUGAUGACAAAAGCAUUGCUUGCUGCUAAGAGGCAUUGUAGCUGUGAUCUGUGACCCAGCUGUAUUAUCUUAGAGAUGGGGACGAUUUUGGAAACAUUGACUGAAGGGCGACUUGUGUGCAUAGGAAGAAGGGGAAUUUUUUAUCACCUAAUACUGAAAUUGCCCUGACGUGCCUUGAAUGGAGUAUUUUUACCACAGGCUUCCGGGCUGCAAAUGUAAAUGGCACAGCCCAAACGUUUAGCUUAGAAGGGGAGUUUUAAUGACGAAUGGAGUGUGCAAGGCUGGGGAGAACUGUAGAGCCCAGAAAGUCAAGCAGACCAAAGCAAGAUGAUGAGGGCAAUGAACACAGCAAGAAGAAGAAGAAAAAAGAAGCUAAUUUCUCAUAUGUUCCUAAGUUGUUCUGAAAGUAAUGCUUCCUAUUUAUUUCCAUGUGAACUACCACAGAUACAAAGAGCACAGUAACACCAUUUAAUAGUGCAAAUUCUCAGCUACAAAACACUCUUCUUCUACACAGUCACUACCAUUAGCUAUUCAUUUUCGCCUGUGAUAAACAAGAACCUGUAUGCUGUGGUAAUAAACAUCUGCACAACAGAGAUGACCCGCUGCUU
Molecule: long non-coding RNA, 1290 nt
Filed under: Coturnix japonica (Japanese quail)
Lineage: Eukaryota; Metazoa; Chordata; Aves; Galliformes; Phasianidae
Description: lncRNA (ENSCJPG00005007063.1)
Source: RNAcentral